GAAAUGCGAUAAGUAAUGUGAAUUGCAGAAUUCAGUGAAUCAUCGAAUCUUUGAACGCACAUUGCGCCCGCCAGUAUUCUGGCGGGCAUGCCUGUCCGAGCGUCAUUUCAACCAUCAAGCCCCCGGGCUUGUGUUGGGGACCUGCGGCUGCCCGCAGGCCCUGAAAACCAGUGGCGGGCUCGCUGUAACACCGAGCGUAGUAGCAAUCACCUCGCUCAGGGCGUGCUGCGGGUUCCGGCCGUUAAACAGCCUUACAAAACCCAAGGUUGACCUCGGAUCAGGUAGGAAGACCCGCUGAACUUAAGC
This 306-nucleotide unclassified non-coding RNA is filed under the name plant metagenome. Its description in RNAcentral is "partial contains 5.8S ribosomal RNA, internal transcribed spacer 2, and large subunit ribosomal RNA". The stretch from base 1 to 105 matches the Rfam family "5.8S ribosomal RNA", at positions 50 to 154 of the family's 154-position model. The record is from RNAcentral.